AUUGAACGCUGGCGGCAGGCCUAACACAUGCAAGUCGAGCGAGCGGCGGACGGGUGAGUAAUGUAUGGGAAACUGCCCGAUAGAGGGGGAUAACUACUGGAAACGGUAGCUAAUACCGCAUACUAUCGGAUGAACCCAUAUGGGAUUAGCUAGUAGGUGGGGUAAAGGCUCACCUAGGCGACGAUCCCUAGCUGGUCUGAGAGGAUGACCAGCCACACUGGGACUGAGACACGGUCCAGACUCCUACGGGAGGCAGCAGUGGGGAAUAUUGCACAAUGGGCGCAAGCCUGAUGCAGCCAUGCCGCGUGUAUGAAGAAGGCCUUAGGGUUGUAAAGUACUUUCAGCGGGGAGGCGUUACCCGCAGAAGAAGCACCGGCUAACUCCGUGCCAGCAGCCGCGGUAAUAC
RNAcentral lists this ribosomal RNA (406 nucleotides) under uncultured bacterium. RNAcentral's name for it is "partial 16S ribosomal RNA". It matches the Rfam family "Bacterial small subunit ribosomal RNA", at positions 30 to 526 of the family's 1533-position model. The record is from RNAcentral.